ACAGGACUCUGCGAAAUCGAAAGAUGAAGUAUAGGGUCUGACACCUGCCCGGUGCCGGAAGGUUAAGGAAGGGGCUUAGGGGUAACUCGAAGGUCUUGACUGAAGCCCCGGUAAACGGCGGCCGUAACUAUAACGGUCCUAAGGUAGCGAAAUUCCUUGUCGGGUAAGUUCCGACCUGCACGAAUGGUGUAACGAUCUGGGCACUGUCUCAGCCACGAGCUCGGUGAAAUUGAAGUAUCGGUGAAGAUGCCGAUUACCCGCAACGGGACGGAAAGACCCCGUGAACCUUUACUACAGCUUUGCAUUGGGCUUGACUAUUCGAUGCGUAGGAUAGGUGGGAGACGCUGAUCUUGGUAUUCCGGUACUGAGGGAGUCGACGUUGAAAUACCACCCUUUGACUAGUUGAGUCCUAACGGAGAAAUCCAGACAGUGCAUGGUGGGUAGUUUGACUGGGGUGGUCACCUCCUAAAGAGUAACGGAGGUUUGCAAAGGUACCCUCAGCAUGGACGGUAAUCAUGCGAAGAGCGUAUUAGUAUAAGGGUGCUUGACUGAGAGACCGACGGGUCGAUCAGGGACGAAAGUCGGCUAAAGUGAUCCGGUGGUUCCGCAUGGAAGGGCCAUCGCUCAAAGGAUAAAAGGUACUCCGGGGAUAACAGGCUGAUCUCCCCCAAGAGCUCAUAUCGACGGGGAGGUUUGGCACCUCGAUGUCGGCUCGUCGCAUCCUGGGGCUGGAGAAGGUCCCAAGGGUUGGGCUGUUCGCCCAUUAAAGCGGCACGUGAGCUGGGUUCAGAACGUCGCAAGACAGUUCGGUCCCUAUCUGUUGUGGGCGCGGGAAGAUUGAAGAGACCUGACACUAGUACGAGAGGACCGUGUUGGACGAACCUCUUGUGUACCGGUUGUGCCGCCAGGUGCAUUGCCGGGUAGCAAUGUUCGGACGGGAUAAGCGCUGAAAGCAUCUAAGCGCGAAGCCUACUCUGAGAUGAAUCUUCCGAUUAAGGGUCGCAGGAGACUACUGCGUUGAUAGGCGGCAGGUGGAAGUGUGGUGACAUGCUGAGCCGAGCCGUACUAAUUACCCGUAAGCUUCCAUUU
RNAcentral lists this ribosomal RNA (1089 nucleotides) under activated sludge metagenome. RNAcentral's name for it is "bacterial LSU rRNA". It matches the Rfam family "Bacterial large subunit ribosomal RNA", at positions 1815 to 2925 of the family's 2925-position model. The record is from RNAcentral.